Molecule: ribosomal RNA, 497 nt
Filed under: uncultured bacterium
Lineage: Bacteria
Description: partial 16S ribosomal RNA
Rfam family: Bacterial small subunit ribosomal RNA
Source: RNAcentral
GAUGAACGCUGGCGGCGUGCCUAAUACAUGCAAGUCGAGCGAACGGACGAGAAGCUUGCUCCUCUUUUGUUAGCGGCGGACGGGUGAGUAACACGUGGAUAACCUACCUAUAAGCCUGGGAUAACUUCGGGAAACCGGUGCUAGUACCGGAUAAUAUCUUUAACCGUAUGGUUCAAAAGUGAAAGACGGUCUUGCUGUCCCUUAUAGUUGUAUCCCCGCUUCUUUAGCUAGUUGGUAAGGUAACGGUUUACCAAGGGAACGAACCUUAGCCAACCUGAAAGGGGGUUCGGCCAAACUGGAACGGGGCCACGGCCCAGACUCCUAGGGGAGGCAGCAGAAGGGAAUCUUCGGCAUUGGGGGAAGGCCUGACGGAGCAACGCGGGGUGAGUGAUGAAGUUCUUCGGAUCUUAAAACUCUGUUAUUAGGGAGGAACAUAUGUGGAAGUGACUGUGCACAUCUUGACGGUACCUAAUCAGAAAGCCACGGCUAACUACGUG